This 869-nucleotide ribosomal RNA is filed under the name uncultured Peptostreptococcus sp. RNAcentral's name for it is "bacterial SSU rRNA". It matches the Rfam family "Bacterial small subunit ribosomal RNA", at positions 27 to 883 of the family's 1533-position model. Lineage: Bacteria; Bacillati; Bacillota; Clostridia; Peptostreptococcales; Peptostreptococcaceae. The record is from RNAcentral.
GGAUGAACGCUGGCGGCGUGCCUAACACAUGCAAGUCGAGCGAGGGUUUGCUCAGUAUUGAGUAUUCUAAAACUAGAAUGUUCAAUUCUGAGCAAAACCAAGCGGCGGACGGGUGAGUAACGCGUGGGUAACCUGCCCUAUACACAUGGAUAACAUACUGAAAAGUUUACUAAUACAUGAUAAUAUAUAUUUGCGGCAUCGCAGAUAUAUCAAAGUGUUAGCGGUAUAGGAUGGACCCGCGUCUGAUUAGCUAGUUGGUGAGAUAACUGCCCACCAAGGCGACGAUCAGUAGCCGACCUGAGAGGGUGAUCGGCCACAUUGGAACUGAGACACGGUCCAAACUCCUACGGGAGGCAGCAGUGGGGAAUAUUGCACAAUGGGCGAAAGCCUGAUGCAGCAACGCCGCGUGAACGAUGAAGGUCUUCGGAUCGUAAAGUUCUGUUGCAGGGGAAGAUAAUGACGGUACCCUGUGAGGAAGCCCCGGCUAACUACGUGCCAGCAGCCGCGGUAAUACGUAGGGGGCUAGCGUUAUCCGGAUUUACUGGGCGUAAAGGGUGCGUAGGUGGUCCUUCAAGUCGGUGGUUAAAGGCUACGGCUCAACCGUAGUAAGCCGCCGAAACUGGAGGACUUGAGUGCAGGAGAGGAAAGUGGAAUUCCCAGUGUAGCGGUGAAAUGCGUAGAUAUUGGGAGGAACACCAGUAGCGAAGGCGGCUUUCUGGACUGCAACUGACACUGAGGCACGAAAGCGUGGGUAGCAAACAGGAUUAGAUACCCUGGUAGUCCACGCUGUAAACGAUGAGUACUAGGUGUCGGGGGUUACCCCCCUCGGUGCCGCAGCUAACGCAUUAAGUACUCCGCCUGGGGAGUAC